AAAGCACACGAGCAUUGUUUGCAGUUUAAAACAGGUUUUCUGAAGUAAGAGCAAAAGUUUCGAAUGCGCUUCAAUAUACUCAUGACUGACAAAGAGUUCAUCAUUAACUUAUUCAGGAGUUUCAGUUAUAAUCUCAGAAGAUAGCUCCGACCGGGUAUCAAAACUAGAGAAAAAGGUUAGUGCUUUAUAGCAUUGUGUGUUUUCUCAUAUUUCAGUUGUGUGGUUCUGUCUGUUUGAUGUAGUUAUUGUUCCUUAUUUUGUGUAUGAUAUCCUUUUAAUUGGCUUAAUUGAUGUGUAACUUGCUGGAAAAUUUUGUGUGAGUCUGCGGAUGUAGGAGUUGAUAAAGAGACUUGAAUAAGGUAAGCUUUCGUGAUGAAUUGGUAAAUCAUUUUCUAGAUUCUGAACCUUGACUUAUACUGAAACUCACGCCAUAAAAAGCACAAAUUCAACGUAUUAAGUGAAUAAGGUUUGAACUAAUAAUCCUUGAACAAUGGCUGGUGGAGUUGCACUGAGAGGUAAGAUAAUAUGAGCCGAGGAAACAACCAAAUGACGACAGGGAGGAUUCUGAUUUCAAGAUGAAGGAUUGCUUCCUCGGCUGCAAAGACGGUUUGACGACCACCAUUUAAUACAAGGUUUGAACUGGUGAUCUUUUCUCUCCAAGACUAUUCCCUUGGGAAGGUAUUUCUAAUUACCAGAUAAAGUCCAUAAUGAAUCUUAGUUCAAGUGGGUUACAAGGACCAAUAGCCUUUUCCUUUAGAGAUCUCUCCCUCCUCGAGUUAUCGUAAGUGUACAAAUGCAAGCCAUACAAACACACACUUUCCAAGAGCUUUCUUCAGUUGAAAUGGAACUUAUUGACAAACGGUUUGAAGAUGAAGGAUUGUUUGGCUGCAAAGAAAAUCAUUCAGUAGCCAACAAAGAAAUAACUUUGUGUGAAUCUGCUGAUGUAUCUAUUAAGGAGUUGAUAAAGAGACUUAAUGAAGGUAAGCUUUUGUAACGAAUUGGUAAGAGACAACUGAAAUUUUCCUAGCUUGCUUUCGGUUAGUUUCUUAAUGUGCUACGACAUGUUUAGGCCCAAAGUCUUGGCGUUGAGAACUUGAUGAUGAUAGAUAUUAUAAACUUGCAAAUAUUUGCAUUAUAUAUUCAGAAAACGAGAAGCAGGUAUUUAUCAUUUCUAUCUAGUAAUAAUUUAUAGUCCCCAAGUCACUAUAAGUCCUUGUUUUUCAUUUUUAGAUUGGGUAUGAAUUCAAUGGAGGCCAAUGCAAUGGAAAAGCUCCGACGUUUUCUUUAUGAUAUGAUUAACAAUGAUAGAGUCAUGUUCCGUUCCCAAAGUACUUGUUUUAUAAAUUGACUUUUUAAGGAUUCCUGUUUCACUGAUCAAGUGUUUUUUUACAGAAUCUCGCUUCGUUUUUUUCCUAUCUUGCUUUCCAUUAGUUUCUAAAAGUGCUUUCAGUCCAAUGUCUUGGCGUUGAGAACUCGAUGAUGCGAAAAAAGAGAAGCAUGUAUUUAUCAUUUCUAUCUGUUCACACCAUCGAAAGGAUAAAACCAAUGUAUAAAGUCAAUAAGGUUUGGACUGGUGAUCCUUGCUCUCCAAGACUAUUCUUUUGAAAGGAAUUCUACUGAUGAGCUUAGUUCAAGUGGAUUACAAGGACCAAUAGCUGUCUCAUUUAGAAAUCUCUCCCUUUUUGAGUCAUUGUAAGUAUACAAAUUCAAGCCAUACACACACACUACCAACCUCUUUCUUCACAUUAUAUAUAAGAGUCAUGUGCAUUGUUUUCCCAGGGAUUCAUAAAACAACAACCUAAGAAAGGGAUUUCUUUUGACAGACAUUUGAUAAUGUAUUUGUCUCUGACAUUUAUUUGUGUCACAUGAAUUUGAAAGGAAAUUACUUGACUGGGUUUGCCCCAAGAUCUCAUAGGAAAAAAACAAUGGCUAGUGAACUUGCACAGAGAG
This 1950-nucleotide small RNA is filed under the name Arabidopsis thaliana (thale cress). RNAcentral's name for it is "unknown gene (AT1G33615)". The record is from RNAcentral. Lineage: Eukaryota; Viridiplantae; Streptophyta; Magnoliopsida; Brassicales; Brassicaceae.